Molecule: ribosomal RNA, 497 nt
Filed under: uncultured bacterium
Lineage: Bacteria
Description: partial 16S ribosomal RNA
Rfam family: Bacterial small subunit ribosomal RNA
Source: RNAcentral
GAUGAACGCUGGCGGCGUGCCUAAUACAUGCAAGUCGAGCGAACGGACGAGAAGCUUGCUUCUCUGAUGUUAGCGGCGGACGGGUAAGUAACACGUGGAUAACCUACCUAUAAGACUGGGAUAACUUCGGGAAACCGGAGCUAAUACCGGAUAAUAUUUUGAACCGCAUGGUUCAAAAGUGAAAGACGGUCUUGCUGUCACUUAUAGAUGGAUCCGCGCUGCAUUAGCUAGUUGGUAAGGUAACGGCUUACCAAGGCAACGAUGCAUAGCCGACCUGAGAGGGUGAUCGGCCACACUGGAACUGAGACACGGUCCGGACUCCUACGGGAGGCAGCAGUAGGGAAUCUUCCGCAAUGGGCGAAAGCCUGACGGAGCAACGCCGCGUGAGUGAUGAAGGUCUUCGGAUCGUAAAACUCUGUUAUUAGGGAAGAACAUAUGUGUAAGUAACUGUGCACAUCUUGACGGUACCUAAUCAGAAAGCCACGGCUAACUACGUG